This 769-nucleotide ribosomal RNA is filed under the name uncultured bacterium. RNAcentral's name for it is "bacterial SSU rRNA". It matches the Rfam family "Bacterial small subunit ribosomal RNA", at positions 28 to 776 of the family's 1533-position model. The record is from RNAcentral.
AUUGAACGCUGGCGGCAGGCCUAACACAUGCAAGUCGAGCGGCAGCGACUUAACUGAACCUUCGGGGAACGUUAAGGGCGGCGAGCGGCGGACGGGUGAGUAAUGCCUGGGAAUAUACCCUGAUGUGGGGGAUAACUAUUGGAAACGAUAGCUAAUACCGCAUAAUCUCUUCGGAGCAAAGAGGGGGACCUUCGGGCCUCUCGCGUCAGGAUUAGCCCAGGUGGGAUUAGCUUGUUGGUGAGGUAAUGGCUCACCAAGGCAACGAUCCCUAGCUGGUCUGAGAGGAUGAUCAGCCACACUGGAACUGAGACACGGUCCAGACUCCUACGGGAGGCAGCAGUGGGGAAUAUUGCACAAUGGGGGAAACCCUGAUGCAGCCAUGCCGCGUGUGUGAAGAAGGCCUUCGGGUUGUAAAGCACUUUCAGUAGGGAGGAAGGUAGUGUAGUUAACACCUGCAUUAUUUGACGUUACCUACAGAAGAAGCACCGGCUAACUCCGUGCCAGCAGCCGCGGUAAUACGGAGGGUGCGAGCGUUAAUCGGAAUUACUGGGCGUAAAGCGCAUGCAGGCGGCCUGUUAAGUCAGAUGUGAAAGCCCGGGGCUUAACCUCGGAAUUGCAUUUGAAACUGGUAGGCUAGAGUCUUGUAGAGGGGGGUAGAAUUUCAGGUGUAGCGGUGAAAUGCGUAGAGAUCUGAAGGAAUACCAGUGGCGAAAGCGGCCCCCUGGACAAAGACUGACGCUCAGAUGCGAAAGCGUGGGGAGCAAACAGG